AGUGGACCAGAGUGAGGACGGAUGUAUGGGAGAAGACUCCAGAAGCUCUUGCUACCACCCAGAUGGAAGUCAGGGAGGGCUGUCGCGCUGGAGCAGCAGAGGAAGUGGAGAG
This is a long non-coding RNA of Camelus ferus (Wild Bactrian camel), 112 nucleotides long. It matches the Rfam family "T-cell leukemia/lymphoma 6 conserved region 1". NCBI's taxonomy places the organism in Eukaryota, Metazoa, Chordata, Mammalia, Artiodactyla, Camelidae. The record is from Rfam.